UACGUAGGUGGCGAGCGUUGUCCGGAAUUACUGGGCGUAAAGCGUGCGCAGGCGGCUUUGCAAGACAGAUGUGAAAUCCCCGGGCUUAACCUGGGAACUGCAUUUGUGACUGCAUGGCUGGAGUGCGGCAGAGGGGGAUGGAAUUCCGCGUGUAGCAGUGAAAUGCGUAGAUAUGCGGAGGAACACCGAUGGCGAAGGCAAUCCCCUGGGCCUGCACUGACGCUCAUGCACGAAAGCGUGGGGAGCAAACAGG
This 253-nucleotide ribosomal RNA is filed under the name uncultured bacterium. RNAcentral describes it as "partial 16S ribosomal RNA". It matches the Rfam family "Bacterial small subunit ribosomal RNA", at positions 524 to 776 of the family's 1533-position model. The record is from RNAcentral.